GACAUGCUGAGCACCCCCAGCCAGCCGAGGCCCCGGGUGGCCGCCCGACGAGUCGGUGCUGGACUGGCGCGAGUGCGAGCCCGAAUCAGGCUCCUUGAAGAAAGACUCCGGCAGGAUCUUCUUCCGCCACGAGCUAGGCUUCGGAUUCAUGACAGAGUUGAAGAGGGCUUCGAGGUCUGUGUCUAGGUCCUGCGUGACGUGGAUCACUUGCUGCCCAGGCGGCGGGAGCGGAGGGGGCGCCGAGGCCGGAUUCAUCUUCUGCAAAAAGAAGGAUGGCAAAGGAAAGGUCGCAGGUUUCCAGGACAGGCAGCCCCUCCAAAGAAGUUCAGCCCGAGCCAACUCCACCACGUCUCGACUCCGGAAGCCCAAGGAGCCUGGAGCCCUGGAGUGGUGCGGGGUGAGCGCGCGAGCUCCAGCGGGCACUACCUGGGCGGGCAGCGAAGCUGAGCCUGAGCGCGCGGCGGCCGC
RNAcentral lists this non-coding RNA (468 nucleotides) under Pongo abelii (Sumatran orangutan). The record is from RNAcentral. Lineage: Eukaryota; Metazoa; Chordata; Mammalia; Primates; Hominidae.